RNAcentral lists this transfer RNA (76 nucleotides) under Desulfofustis glycolicus DSM 9705. RNAcentral describes it as "tRNA_Ala_GGC". It matches the Rfam family "tRNA". Rfam says of the family: Transfer RNA (tRNA) molecules are approximately 80 nucleotides in length. Their secondary structure includes four short double-helical elements and three loops (D, anti-codon, and T loops). Lineage: Bacteria; Pseudomonadati; Thermodesulfobacteriota; Desulfobulbia; Desulfobulbales; Desulfocapsaceae. RNAcentral also lists the same sequence under 8 other names. The record is from RNAcentral.
GGGGCUAUAGCUCAGCUGGGAGAGCGCUUGAAUGGCAUUCAAGAGGUCGUCGGUUCGAUCCCGUCUAGCUCCACCA